RNAcentral lists this ribosomal RNA (376 nucleotides) under uncultured organism. RNAcentral's name for it is "partial 16S ribosomal RNA". It matches the Rfam family "Bacterial small subunit ribosomal RNA", at positions 527 to 896 of the family's 1533-position model. The record is from RNAcentral.
GUAGGUGGCAAGCGUUGUCCGGAAUUAUUGGGCGUAAAGCGCGCGCAGGCGGUCCUUUAAGUCUGAUGUGAAAGCCCACGGCUCAACCGUGGAGGGUCAUUGGAAACUGGGGGACUUAAGUACAGAAGAGGAAAGCGGAAUUCCACGUGUAGCGGUGAAAUGCGUAGAGAUGUGGAGGAACACCAGUGGCGAAGGCGGCUUUCUGGUCUGUAACUGACGCUGAGGCGCGAAAGCGUGGGGAGCAAACAGGGAUUAGAUACCCUGGUAGUCCACGCCGUAAACGAUGAGUGCUAAGUGUUAGGGGGGUUUCCCGCCCCCUUAGUGCUGCAGCUAACGCAUUAAGCACUCCGCCUGGGGGAGUACGGCCGCAAGGCUG